Molecule: RNA transcript, 5293 nt
Organism: Mytilus californianus (California mussel)
Lineage: Eukaryota; Metazoa; Mollusca; Bivalvia; Mytilida; Mytilidae
Gene name: ficolin-3-like
Exons: 7
Source: RefSeq, a predicted model, not a curated record
AGAAUAUUGACGACCUCAAAACUUUCUAACAACAUGCUAUUUAGUUUUGGACAAUUGUUGAUACUUUUAGCUGAUAUGCUUCUAGUAUCUACAGAACAAUGCACAUCUGGAAUUUUUCAUGUGAACCCAGACAAGAUUGACACAAAACUCGAUGGAUACAAGAUUCGUACGUUUGAGAACAUAUCCCCGCGGGGAUGUUUUGACAAAUGUAUCCGGAGACCAAGAUGCCAUUCUUACAAUUAUAAUAGACAUGUAUUACGUUGCGAACUGAACUAUCAACCAACAUCUGUUUCUCAUAAUGACUUCCCGAACGCCGUUGGAUUUAUUUUUGUAGAAGUUGAUCAUUACAGAGGGGAUCCUAAGUAUGACACAUGCCUUGAAAAUCCCUGUAAACCUGGAGAAAUAUGUGAAAGGAAAAAAGAUGGAGACGUGUUUUGCGUCAAAGAACAAGAAUCCACGAUUAUGUUAAGCAGAUUUAGCAUAAAGGCAACGAAAUUUGUGGAGACGAUUGUACCGAAUUGAAAAAAUUCUAUUCAACAUUCGAAAGUGACGUAUCUACUAUAUACCCAUCCACGACUGCAGAAGGGCUACUUGUGUUUUGCAACUUGACGUACGGCAACUGGACGGUUUUUCAAAGAAGAACAGACGGAAGUGAAAAUUUUAGAAGGACCUGGGUAGAGUAUGAGAAUGGGUUUGGUGAUCUUCAGAAUGAAUUUUGGCUUGGUAACAAAUGCCUAAAUCUUCUAACCAGAAGUGGAUCAUAUAAACUACGAGUGGAACUUGUUAACAUCAACGGCCACAUGUAUUAUGCUGAGUAUAGUACAUUUGCAGUGGGUGAUGCAGCAUCAAGAUAUACAUUAACUAUUAAUGGAUACAAUGGAACUGCAGGAAACUGGAUGCAGGGCAACAAUGGAAACCCUUUUACGACCUAUGAUCGUGAUUAUGAUUCUAGUUCUAGUAAUUGCGCUGAUCCUGGGGGAGCCUGGUGGCACCGGUCCUGCUCGAGUUCAUAUUUGAACAACGACGAUAGCAACCAUCUGUAUUGGCACCCAACAGCUUAUAUCAAUUCUUACAUGAUGAUACAAAGAACCACAUAAAAUAUUUGAAUAACCAUGAUUCAAAACAAACCCAUGACUAGAUUCUUCCUUGUGGAUGGUACCGGUAUUAGUUAUGUAUAUGCCUUUUUUAUUCAAGACUCUUUUUUAACAAUUAUCUUUGCAAAACUCUCUGCGGAGAUUCUACAAUCUCGGUAUAUGAAAGUAUUAUUCUCUUCGAGAGAUGUUAUCAGUUUGUCAUAUGAAAAGUUGGGAUUUUCUUCCAUAUUUACAUGUAACAUUAUUAGUUACGUAAAUAAAACGUUCAAGAAAGAACCAAAGAUUAAACAUUUUGUGUUGAAUCAUGAAGUCGUUUCGUUUGAGACAUUUAUAUUACUUUUAAAGCUAACAAUGUAUAGUGCAAUUACACGAAUAUAGUGUGAAUAUUAUCCUCAGAAGAUAUUAUAUUGCAAGAACUAUUCAAGUGUUAUCAAUAUUCCACAAAUGAAACCUUUAUAAAUCUUUAUGCACAAACCCUUUAAUCAUGAAUAAAUGAAAUGUUGGGUAUUCCUUAAUGUAAUAGCUACCCAAAACAUGAACCCGCUAUGACAAAACUUUUUAUAUGACAUGAGCACCCUUUGUCAGUAAUAAUAACUUCACAUUUUGAUUGAUAUUGUUCAAUGUGUGCUUUACCGGCGAAUUCACGCGGAUUGUUGAAAUGAUUAUUGGAUAAACUGUGUUUGUCGCUUAUACACUUAUGUAGGUUGUGCGUCAAUGUUUGACUUUUUCAGUAUAUUUUAAAUUGUAAGUGUAUUUUUGUCAUUGAAACAUGUGUUAUGUGUAACAAAAUUGAGACUCAAUUGUUUAGAUUCAUUUUGGCAACAAAAGAAAGAAGCAUGUAUAACAAUAACAAUUAUUUCCCCAUGCAUCUUCGGUAGUAUUAAAUUCUUCAAUUGUUUCAAAAUGAGGUUUAAUUUUAUUGAUAAUUGUCAAGAUAUUAUUCUUAUUGUACAAAGUUAGGAAUAAGACAGUUGUUUUCCAUUCGUUUGAUGCGUUUGAGCUUUUGAUUUUGCCCUCUGAUAAGGGACUUUCCGUUUUGAAUUUUAUUGGAUUUCGAUAUUUUUGAUAUUUUACUUUUGAACAACGCUGCGCUCACACCGAGACUUAAACAAGUUUAAAACAAUUUUAAUCAAAUUUUAGAAAAUAUGCAUAAGGUAUCAAUCCGUUUAUUUUGAAAAAGCUAAAAGUUAUCAAAUUCCUUUUAAUACAGAAUUGAUUGAUUGGUUGGUUUAUAUCACGAAUAUGUACAAAAAUUAGAAGAUUUCUGAAUUAAGCAAUGUUGGGAGUUUUGACUAGUCAUAUUCUUUCCUGUCACUAUGCAUAUUAAGAUUAUUUUGAGCAUGAAAAUUAUGACGUGUUGUUUUCACUUUUUACGUAUUUAUUGUUGUGCAUGUAGUUAACGUCGAUGACGGUCGUCUGUGUAGUUUUUUCAAUUAAUCAACGUCAUUAACAUGUAUAUUUGCUGAUUAUUUCUUUAUGUUCAUUAACAUUAUAUAAAUAAAUGUAAUUAUAAAAAAACAGCCGACAAUGCAAACAAAAAUCAAAAGGCACACGGAGGUCAACAUACAUGUACAGUUUUCAACAAAAGAUAAGUGUCUAUUGUUUAAUAAAAAUGGCAUUCGAAAAUCUUUACAUUCGAUACUUAAAUUUCACACAUUUCAUCAUUACCCUUGUGAAGAAUGAUAUAAAUAAGACUUACUUUAAUGUUGCACUAAACGUCUUCUUCUGAAUCUUAUUACAAUUCUUUCUACAGUAACAGAUAGCCUGCAGACAUAUUAUUGUGAUGUAUACUCAACACACGUGUUAAUCAGAGUACUUAAAAUGUUCUAAAUAUCUGCUCCCGAAUCUUCAUUCACAAUCAUUACAAAUUUGCAGCAAUGUCAAUACUUUUGAUUUUUCCACACUCUACAUUACUUCUAAAGCUCAAUUGAAAGACCGUCUAUAUCUUGUAAUGAUUUGUUUUCUUUGCAACAAUUGGAAUAGUAGCCUCAAAUAUCAAAUUUAAGGCCACCAAAAAUCUUAUUUGUGACAACAACACAUACACCGAAAAAUCUAGCGUAGAAUAUCAUAUUGACUGUAAAUAAUAUUCCACACAGGCAUAAAGUAACAAAGCUUUGUGCAAGAACCUUUUUGAUAUGAAUUUGAAGAGAUGUAGAGCAUUCGUCAAUAAGACAAUGCGACACAAACCAAAACAACACAAAAACAAACACAUGUAUGAGAGUGUUCAAAAUGACAAGAACAUCAUAUUUUGUGAAGAUAAUUUAAUUAUUUGAUGUGAUUUUGUUUACUGUACUUUAGCUGCGAAUAUUGAACGCUAAGUUUUGGUUACCUUUUAUGUUGAAUAUGUAGUUGCUAUUGAAUAAAACUGAAUAUUGCAUCUUUUAAAAUAGUUUUUUCAAUGUAUAAUUUGUCGAUUUUAAGAUAAUUAUAUCAGUAAUUUGUGCAAAUAUAGAAGAAACUUUCAAAAUAUAUCUUGACAGUUUAUUAAUUGUGAUUCAAACUUUUCAACUGAUUUUUAUAAAAUUGAGAAUGGAAAUGGGGAAUGUGUCAAAGAGACCACAACCCUACCAUAGAGCAGACAACUGCCGAAGGCCACCAAAGGGUCUUCAAUGCAGCGAGAAACAUCCGCACCCGGAGGCGUCCUUCAGCUGGCCCCUAAACAAAUAUACUAGUUCAGUGAUAAUGGACGUUAUAGUUUGUUCUUAUGUUGUACUGUAACACCACUGUCCCAGGUUAGGGGGAGGGUUGGCGCGCCUUCAGACUAGUUUAACCCCGCCACAUUCUGUAUGUGCCUGUCCCAAGUCAGGAGCCUGUAAUUCAGUGGUUGUCGUUUGUUGCUGUAUAUCAUAUUUGUUUUUCGUUCAUUAUUUUGUACACAAAUUAGGCCGUUAGUUUUCUCGUUUGAAUUAUUUUACAUUUGUCAUUUCGGGGCCUUUUAUAGCUGACUAUGCGGUAUGGGUUUUACUCAUUGUUGAAAGCCGUACGGUGACCUAUAGUUGUUAAUUUCUGUGUCUUUUGGUCUCUUGUGGAGAGUUGUCUCAUUGGCAAUCAUACCACAUCUUCUUAUUUUUAUAUUUUAAAAAUGUUUAAUGUUGAUAACAAUUUUACAAUUUUACAAUAUUUGUGACAAUUAACUUACUUUAGGGCCUUUCAAUACAAAGCACAAAGAUAUGAUAAGAGCUAUUAUUUGGUCCUUGUAGCCAAUUUCCUCAAACUUUUCAAACUAGUGUUAGUUUAACGGAUAAUCAAAUAAGGCUGUGUUCAAACUGAGGCUUCAACAAGAUUGAAUCAAUUGUAAUUGAAUUGUCGUAUAAUUAUUACAAAUUAUGAAAUUGAAUGCAUGCCAAACAAUUGUCAAUAUUAUAACAAAACUCUAACUUGCGUAUGCCACAAUGUUUCACAAGGGCAUUGUGAACGCAGUCGUACAUCAUAUACAACCAUGUCAUGAUUAUCCAUUUCAGAAUUUAACGAAUUAUGGAAAAUAUUUUCAAAAUUGUACACCUUUACUUGGUUCACGUGGUUCAUUUGUAAGUUUCGGAGUUUAGUGUUGCGUCCAUUUCGCGGAACUAGUAUACAUUAUUGUUUCGAGGUCAGUUGAAGCCCGCCUCUGGGGGCCUGAUUUCUCGAUGCGUUGAAGACCAAUUGGUGGCCUUGGGCUGUUUUCUGCUCUUUUGUCGGAUUGUUGUCUCUUUGACACAUUUUUUUCCGUUUCCAUUUUUCGUUCUACCUUAACGUUGUGAUUUUUAAAUAACAACGUCCUAAACAAUGAAAAUUCAGCCAAUGACGUUACGUAAUUUUCAUUUUAUGGGUACGACUAACGAAGUUACCCAAUAUUCUUCACUUUCUGAAGCAACGAAUUGAAUUAUUUGACAAAAACAAGCCAUUUCACAUAAUGAUUUCGUUGAAUUAAAUACGAACAACAACCUUCCCCAGAAUUAUUGACUCAAAUCACCAUCCUUGAAUAAGACAUCUAGGUUGUGACAAAAUAAUUUAUUGGUUAUGGCUGUUGCUCAUUUUGAAUUUUGACAUCAAUAUUUUGGAGGUCUCUAAAUGAGGCAAUGGUGGUAGAUUGGCCUAAUCAUACUUUUUCCGUUUAAUAUUUACAAUAAAGUUAUUUGAUAAGUUAGUUAAUGUAUUUUAUGUGUAUCAUGGUUUCAAUGUUUUGCUAAAAUAAAGAAUUUAAAUUAUGCGAAGAUAUA